RNAcentral lists this ribosomal RNA (474 nucleotides) under bacterium. Its description in RNAcentral is "bacterial SSU rRNA". It matches the Rfam family "Bacterial small subunit ribosomal RNA", at positions 82 to 591 of the family's 1533-position model. The record is from RNAcentral.
UCCUUCGGGGUGAGUGGCAGACGGGUGAGUAACGCGUGGGAACGUGCCCUUCAGUUCGGAAUAACCCAGGGAAACUUGGGCUAAUACCGGAUACGUGCGAGAGCAGAAAGAUUUAUCGCUGAAGGAUCGGCCCGCGUCUGAUUAGCUAGUUGGUGAGGUAAUGGCUCACCAAGGCGACGAUCAGUAGCUGGUCUGAGAGGAUGAUCAGCCACAUUGGGACUGAGACACGGCCCAAACUCCUACGGGAGGCAGCAGUGGGGAAUAUUGGACAAUGGGCGCAAGCCUGAUCCAGCCAUGCCGCGUGAGUGAUGAAGGCCUUAGGGUUGUAAAGCUCUUUCGGCGGGGACGAUAAUGACGGUACCCGCAGAAGAAGCCCCGGCUAACUUCGUGCCAGCAGCCGCGGUAAUACGAAGGGGGCUAGCGUUGUUCGGAAUCACUGGGCGUAAAGGGCGCGUAGGCGGCUUUAUAAGUCGG